Molecule: transfer RNA, 74 nt
Filed under: Rickettsiales bacterium
Lineage: Bacteria; Pseudomonadati; Pseudomonadota; Alphaproteobacteria; Rickettsiales
Description: tRNA-Pro
Rfam family: tRNA
About the family: Transfer RNA (tRNA) molecules are approximately 80 nucleotides in length.
Source: RNAcentral
CGGGAUGUAGCGUAGCUGGUUAGCGCGUCUGUUUUGGGAACAGAAGGUCGCAUGUUCAAAUCAUGCCAUCCCGA